GACGUAGGGCGCAAGCGUUGUCCGGAAUUAUUGGGCGUAAAGAGCUCGUAGGCGGCUUGUUGCGUCGACUGUGAAAAACCACGACUCAACCGUGGGACUGCAGUCGAUACGGGCAGGCUAGAGUUCGGUAGGGGAGACUGGAAUUCCUGGUGUAGCGGUGAAAUGCGCAGAUAUCAGGAGGAACACCGGUGGCGAAGGCGGGUCUCUGGGCCGAUACUGACGCUGAGACGCGAAAGCGUGGGGAGCGAACAGG
RNAcentral lists this ribosomal RNA (253 nucleotides) under uncultured bacterium. RNAcentral describes it as "partial 16S ribosomal RNA". It matches the Rfam family "Bacterial small subunit ribosomal RNA", at positions 524 to 776 of the family's 1533-position model. The record is from RNAcentral.